Molecule: long non-coding RNA, 3366 nt
Organism: Triticum aestivum (bread wheat)
Lineage: Eukaryota; Viridiplantae; Streptophyta; Magnoliopsida; Poales; Poaceae
Exons: 10
Source: RefSeq, a predicted model, not a curated record
UCCUCGUUUCCAACCCUAAAAUCUUUUCCCCCUACAUCCGCUCAUCCCCUCCACUCCCUCGACAACGGUGGCGGCGGCCCCCUCUGGUGGCGGAGGAGGAGGGGGGAGAUGGUGGCGCGGCGGCGACCUUCCCCCCUCGUCAUCCUGGAUCCCACCGGACCCGAGGCGUGCGGGCGCGGCGGCGACCUGCAAGGGAAGGGCGACACUCGAAUCGAUCCAGCGCCAUGGAUCGUUCCCUGCGCGAGAAAGAGAAAAUGAGGGAGAGAGAAGGAAGGAGAGGAAGCAGAAAGAGAGAGGAAAGAGGAGAGGGAGGUGCAGCGUUGACCGACGGCUCGCGCGGUGGUGCGGCAGACGGCGGCCUCAGCGGGUGUGCGACGACACCACGCAGCUCCUGUGCCGCGCAACCCUCUCCUCGCAGGCUCAACAGGAGGUUCCCAAGCCAGCUCGGGCCGCUGCUACCUCUUCCUCGCCGCCCAACAGGUCGCCGUGCUGGGGGAGCAGGGUAGCAUCGGGUCCACAGGCUGGGGUGGAGGCCUUCCCAACUCAGACUGCGCGUCCUCCUCUUCGCCGCGUCAUCGCCCUGGCCAGCUGAGCACCAACCCGACGGCUCCGGCAUCCGAUGCCAACACAACGAGGUUAUACUCCAAUCAAACAUGUGAAUAUUUACCAGAGUGCUUCAAGAUCGAUCUGAUGAUCCACUACCGCUCUGCUGUUGGGACUAAUUUGGAUGGGAAUGGUGAUUUGAUGGUUGAUUAUGAUUACUUGGUUCUUGCUCUUGGAGUUACUGUGAAUACAUUCAACACUCCUGGUGUGAUGGAGCAUUGCCACUUUCUGAAGGUAGUGGAGGAUGCCCAAAAGAUUCGGAAGAGCGUGAUAGACUGCUUUGAAAAGGCGUCACUUCCUAACCUCAGUGAAGAGGAGAAAAGGAAGAUCCUUCACUUUGUGAUUAUCGGUGGUGGACCUACUGGGGUUGAAUUUGCUGUGGAGUUGCAUGAUUUUCUUGUCGAAGAUCUGGUGAAGCUAUAUCCUGCAAUUGAAGAAAACUCUCAACUCCUACUUGCGCUCCGCCUCUUCCUCCUUUUCAUCGCUCAAUAGGAGGCAGCUCAUCUGGCCGUGCAGCAGACCACGUCCUGAGCGGGUCGGUGACGGCGGUUGCAGCUGGUGCACGGCGAUUCCAACGACAACAGGAAUCUGCAACUUGUUAGACUUCUUUGCAACCCCAACAAGGCCCUCAUCUGCUUUGUCUACAUAUAUGCAUGAUUUCUAUGAUUGGAAUCAGAUAGCACUAACUAUGUGUCAGACUGCUAAUAUUUAUUUGCUUGAUGAUCCUUGAAGCGCACUCUACGCUCAUACAUGAUCCCACAUAUUCUAGAUGCUUUCUUGAGGCUUUGGCUAAAAAUCUGUGGUGUACGUCACUCAUCAGGUAACUCUGACGGGCUAAUGCCUUAAGCUGGGACAUACAACAAAAUACUUAUUUUAUGGGAGGAGUUUAUGGAACUGGGUAGUGCUCAUCAGGAUGCUCUUGCAGCAAUUGACACAAUCGAUGUGGCUAAUGGAGCCAGUGAGUAACCUUGCCACCCUUCAGUAUGGUUCCUAUCUUUAGACAGUCACAUCCACGUUCGUACUUUUAGAAUAGUUGUUGCAACGGGGAAGAGCAUUUCUGCAAUAGCAAGAUAUCAUGACCCAAUGGGCAUAGGCCGAACCAACCACCAUCACUAUUGCUUCAGGAUUAGAUAGCCAACUUCCACUCAUGAGCCUGUCGAGUCAAGUUUCAGACUGAUCAUGUAUCCCCUUGAUAUUCACUGGAUGGAAUCCCCUGUUUUACUCAAACUGAACCUUCUACAAACAUCGGAAAAGCAACAGUAGUAAAGAUGGACAGAAAUUCCAAAAAUAAGGUGUUUUUUAUGGAUGUAGCUGGUUGCGAUGAAGCUAAACAAGAAAUAAUGCUAUCACUUAUUACCUUUGUCCUUCAAAUUUGAGUAUAGGCCUGUGAAAUAAUGAAUAUUUGUGUCUCAUUGCUCCAGCAUGGUCAAUAAAGAUAUGUUGACCCAGGAAAUGUGGGUUUAUCAUAGGUCCUACUGUAUACGUUGAUAUAUGAAAUAUGACAUUUCCGGUUAUAUGCUAUCACUUAUUACCUCUGCCCUUUGCAUUGAGUAUAGGCCUGUGAAAUAAUGGUGUAUUUGUGUGUUGAUUCGUCUGUUUUCCUUCAUGUUCUGGUUAAGGUACCAGGACAGACCCAGAGUUAUUUGUAAAAAAGUGCUUUCCAAUGUACCAAUAUUUUGUAUCCUUUCUAAUGCUUAAAAAAGAGGCGAAUAAUUCUUUUAGAAUAUGUAAUAUCCGACAUGUGUAACGCACCUUAAGAGACUACUAAGUUAUCCUGUAUAAUUGGCACGCCCUACUUUUGUAGUAAUAAAUAUAUCAUGUGCUGCUCCAUACAGGUGAUACAUUGCAUUUACCAUAGUAUUUGAUUACAUAUGAUAACAUAAAAUCUGUUUUUUCCUUAGCGGUUCGGCACACUUAGUGCAUAGAAACAGAGUACAGGCAAAUUGAUUAGAUGCAUUAGUUAAGAACACUGAUUUUUUUUGGAAAGCUUCAUCAUGACAUCGAUAUUGGUUUCGCCUUACUGCCACUCAGAGGUUGGAUGGAGCAUCGAGGAUUUCAGGCUUGGGGUGGCCACAUGUUGCAAGAUAGCAGGAAGAGUUGGAUGUGUUCUGCAGAGACCAGGAGAGGGAGCUACAAUGGCAGGAGAAGAAUGCAACGAGGUGCGGUCUUCUGUUCGAUGCCAAGGGCCUGUCCGGCAGUGAUUUCCUCGGGAUGAUCUAGAUGAUAUAACAAAAGGAUUAUAUAUGCAUUUGUGUGCUUCAGAAAAGGUUACUGCUACAUUCAACUUUUCACCAGAAAUGAUUCGUAUAUCCUGAAGAUGUUGCUAGCGUCUUGAAGGAUUACUUAUAUUUGCUCCCUAAUUUCCUGGAUUAUACGAAGUGAGUUGGAUCAUCGAGGGUUGGCGAAACUGAUAUUCAAAUUUGUUUUGUUCUUUAGACCAGACAUUAGCCCUUUCUCUCUAUUUAACAUAUUUCAAGUUCUCAUGUUACAUUAUACUCCCUCCGUCCCAUAAUGUAAGACGUUUUUUGACACUAAUGUAGUGUAAAAAAAAGUCUUACAUUAUGGGACGGAGGGAGUAGUAAAUAUUCAAUUCACUUCUAUUUUGUAGACAGGUCAUUAGCCUUUUCUCUCUAUUUAACACAUUUCAAGUUCUCAUGUUACAUCAAAAGUACGCUGGUUAGGAUGUUUGCAACAUGCCGUGUGUUGUAAUCUUUGUCCACUGUACAUGCACAUAUUAAAUACUUUCAUUAGUACUUUUACAUA